This 761-nucleotide ribosomal RNA is filed under the name uncultured bacterium. RNAcentral's name for it is "bacterial SSU rRNA". It matches the Rfam family "Bacterial small subunit ribosomal RNA", at positions 8 to 749 of the family's 1533-position model. The record is from RNAcentral.
AGAGUUUGAUCAUGGCUCAGGAUGAACGCUGGCGGCGUGCCUAAUACAUGCAAGUCGAGCGAACUGAUUAGAAGCUUGCUUCUAUGACGUUAGCGGCGGACGGGUGAGUAACACGUGGGCAACCUGCCUGUAAGACUGGGAUAACUUCGGGAAACCGAAGCUAAUACCGGAUAGGAUCUUCUACUUCAUGGGAGAUGAUUGAAAGAUGGUUUCGGCUAUCACUUACAGAUGGGCCCGCGGUGCAUUAGCUAGUUGGUGAGGUAACGGCUCACCAAGGCCACGAUGCAUAGCCGACCUGAGAGGGUGAUCGGCCACACUGGGACUGAGACACGGCCCAGACUCCUACGGGAGGCAGCAGUAGGGAAUCUUCCGCAAUGGACGAAAGUCUGACGGAGCAACGCCGCGUGAGUGAUGAAGGCUUUCGGGUCGUAAAACUCUGUUGUUAGGGAAGAACAAGUACAAGAGUAACUGCUUGUACCUUGACGGUACCUAACCAGAAAGCCACGGCUAACUACGUGCCAGCAGCCGCGGUAAUACGUAGGUGGCAAGCGUUAUCCGGAAUUAUUGGGCGUAAAGCGCGCGCAGGCGGCUUCUUAAGUCUGAUGUGAAAGCCCACGGCUCAACCGUGGAGGGUCAUUGGAAACUGGGGAACUUGAGUGCAGAAGAGAAAAGCGGAAUUCCACGUGUAGCGGUGAAAUGCGUAGAGAUGUGGAGGAACACCAGUGGCGAAGGCGGCUUUUUUGGUCUGUAACUGACGCUGA